RNAcentral lists this long non-coding RNA (415 nucleotides) under Prunus persica (peach). RNAcentral's name for it is "long non-coding RNA (PPER_LNC007903)". Lineage: Eukaryota; Viridiplantae; Streptophyta; Magnoliopsida; Rosales; Rosaceae. The record is from RNAcentral.
AGAGGUUUCAGGGAUGAGAGAUGAACCUUGCUAUUUGGAUUUGGUUGUAGUUAGUGGUGAAGUAAUGGGUGUCGUUGUGUUUAAUGGGUAGGAGGUACCUCCUUUUAUAGCAGCUUGAAGCUACUCCUUUCCAAAAAACCCUAAUGGUUUCUCUCUAAUUUUGCCAAGUCUCCCCUUUCAUUUCACUUCUCUCCCUUUGACUCAUCCCAUUUUGUGAAAUCUCCCUCUGUCCAAACACACAAAGACAAGAUUUUUGGGAGCUCUAAGGCUUUCCCGCAGCUGCUUCAUUAAUGAACUCCCAUUUUUGGCUACCUCCUCACCUUCUUUCCUUCCCUCUUCCAUGGCAAGAGUUGGUGGGAGAAAGAAAUGGGUAAGGGCGCUGGUUUGAAGGGUGCCUCUUCUCCUAGCAAAUUGC